This is a non-coding RNA of Oryzias latipes (Japanese medaka), 543 nucleotides long. The record is from RefSeq and is a predicted model, not a curated record. Lineage: Eukaryota; Metazoa; Chordata; Actinopteri; Beloniformes; Adrianichthyidae.
UUCCUGCUUUUCGCGCUGCCCGCGCGCUCCCCGCGUUGGGGGGCUCUUCCGGUGCUAGCAGGAGCUCACCUGCGCUCAGGUGUCUGCAGGUUUAGUCACGCAGGUGCUGGCUUGUUUUCACGCUUUGUUUACAUUCUUUGUAAAGCCCAACAGUGCAGAUUCCAGUUCCUGAGCCGCUUCCUCUUUCCUCAUUGAUGUUUGACUUCAGUGGUUUUGAAAAACCCACAGGUGCUCUCUUUACCGUGACUCAGCAGAACCUCACCUGUGGCAGCAGGAGACUCUUUCUUGUUCUGGAGUGGCCUCAGGUUCCAGCUGCUGCACCCUGGAUCAGCUGAUGUUGGAGUCCUCACCACUGCCUGCAGUCCAUCUCUGAUCCAUCCUGCUGGGCUUUCAUUGGGCGCCAUCAGCUGUCAAGUCUGUGCUGCAGUGAGCUGAGGACCUGUCAGGGUACACUUUCAUGUCUGUGGCUGGGAUCGGUCUCUCCAUUACAAGGACGAUCUCCUCCUUCAGAUCGUACCAGUCCAGCAGAACCACGGGGGAGGC